Equus caballus (horse) is the source of this 1942-nucleotide non-coding RNA. The record is from RefSeq and is a predicted model, not a curated record. Lineage: Eukaryota; Metazoa; Chordata; Mammalia; Perissodactyla; Equidae.
UCUUUGUGUUUUCACAGUGGCAGGCGGUCCCUGCAGAAUUCCCGGCCACGGCAGUCAGGUCCACAUGCAGCUAAGCCCUUCAGAAAUGUUGUUCUUCACCGUGGGGGCGUGCUGCUCUCCUGGUCCUGGUGAGAGGUCUCCAGUAACACAAUCAUGGCAGUUUGUGCGUUGGUAAAAAGCCUGUGCCGCCUCUCAGAGAAUGUGCCUGCCAGAGUAUACAAAAUAUACUCAGAAGAGGAAUUCCACUGAAUCAGGAACUUCUUGAAAAGAAGGGAGUAAACAAAAACCAGGAAAAUUAGCAAAGGUAGCGAUAAUCAUCCCGGCAGAACUGGCAGUUUCCAAGUAUUUAAUUCACUGCAAGCAAGCAUCUUCUUUACUGGAAAAAUGUACUACAGCCGAGGCAGAAAAUGGAAAGGAGAAGCUGUUAGCUUCAUUUCACCUAAAACAAGAUACUGCCGCUCCGUUACACUUUCAAAGAUACUAGAAGGUUUAAACUUCAGUGUUCCAGAGAUCCAUCUGGGCUCCAGGGCAUUUCUCCUGAAGAUGCAUAUUACACUGGUAAUAGAAUUCAGGAGUUAAGGCCCCUAGACCACUGUAGCGCAUUUCAUCAGCCAGGUAAGUGACUUUCCCCUUUCCUGUUGCUUGAAUGGGCAGCCAGAUUCAUGAAAGCACAUUAUGCCCUUCCCUGCGGCAGAGGUAUGCUACUAAAAAAAAAAAAGAGAGAGAGAGAGAGAAGAAAGAAAAAGACUGACAUGAAAAAUGAAAGGUACUUAAACAAGCAGGACCACUGGUGUGCUCUCUAAAAGAUAGAUGAUUGCAGUGAACAUGAUGUCUGGAACUGUAGUUUGCCCAAAUUAAAGUGGAACAUAAAAAUAGGGAAGGAAGCAAUCUAAUUUCCAUUUAAAGUUGAUUUCAGUGGUCGCUGUACAAUAUUCUUUGUCACACCUUCAGGUGAUGGACCUGCAGUGCUGCAGAACUGUGGUAAUUCAAAGGUAACCAGGGGCAAGAGAAAUAUAGAACUCACAUCUGCCAAAAUAGAUCUGAGUGUGGAGCUGGCCAGAGAAAUGUGGCAAGAAAAACGGCAGGAUGCAAUUAUGAAGAAGUAAUGGGUUGCAAUUAACGACGCCUGCCUCAUUUCCUAAAUGAGGAGGGGGGAAGUUUUCUUGGGUUUUCCUCCACGGAGAGCUGUGCGAGGAUGAAGUUGGGCAAUGGUUGUUCAAUCCCUUUUGACUCUUAUGAAGUCAGUGAACUGCUUUGCCAUUUAUAUUUCAAAAGAAAAAUUGUGUCCUAUUUAUAUUCUCUCUAAGAAGAAAAAUACAGCUUUGUUUUACUACCUAAGCUAAUCAUAGAUCUUUCUGUGUGAAAUCAUGAUAAUUCUGGUUUUUUACUGACUGUGACAGAUUUUGUCCCAGAGAGGUGAACAGAGCACUGGCCUAGAAGCUAGGAGGCCAUUGAUCAUCUUUGUCCUUGUGAUGAUGAGCUGGGCAUCAGGCAUCAGCCGUGAAACGGAGGGUCUUUCAGCCUGGAAAAGUCUCACUCGAGAAGAGGGGCUCAAUGGGUCCUCACAUCAAACUCCUCUCAGGAAAUGAAUCAUCAUCCCUGUGACAAAAUUCAAAAUGUCGCCCUAGUUUCUGCCUUUCACAUUUGCCCACACAGACUUCUCUGACUUGGUUCUGUUCUCCUGCUAAUAACACCUGACCGCAUUCCUCUGGCUUCACACCCAUUCAGUGGUUUGAAUUUAGCAUUCUUUCACAUGUGUGAUUUGGGGCAACUCAUAUAGUCUCUGGGAGAUCCAAUUUAAUCGUCUGAGAAAUGCAGACAAUUACAGUAUCAUAUAAAGCUGGUGAGAGAGUUAAAUGAGCUAAAGUAAAUGAAGUAAUACAAACCAUAAAAGAAAAACUUGAUAAAUUGUAUUUCACCAAAAUUAAAAAUUUUACUCUUU